This 655-nucleotide long non-coding RNA is filed under the name Felis catus (domestic cat). RNAcentral describes it as "lncRNA (ENSFCAG00000051069.1)". The record is from RNAcentral. Lineage: Eukaryota; Metazoa; Chordata; Mammalia; Carnivora; Felidae.
UGGAGUGAAAGGGACCCGCACGCUCGGCAGGGGACCCCAGUGCCCCAUCUGCGUUGCAGCUGCCUCCUGUGCUCCUUGCAGGUGUCGUCAGCUUCCACCGACAGCCAGCUCUGGACCCCGCUGCCCCGCCGCCUGCCUUCGCUGGCCGUCACCUAAAACGAGCCUCUGAUCUCAGAGACGUGCUGGAUGGAAGGAUGGAAUAUAAGAAAGUAUCUUUGCCCGGCAUCUGAUGGGAAUAGUGGCAUGGAACGGGUCUCGACAUUAGUUGAGAGAUGCAGCAUCUGAACGCCAGAGCAAGGAUCAGAUUCUUUUUCCAAAACUUCAUUAAGUACAACUCUCAUCCUUCUUCCAUGAAGAAUUAUUGUAAAAAGUGAAAACUCUACCACAUGCAGCUAAAGAAGGAAGCUGAGGAGAUUGUGUGUUCCUGAGCCCAAUAUGAGUGCCUCUAAUUUGCCAAGUUGACCAUCGUCUAGGCUCCCGCAGAAAGGGCACAUCCCGGCCCCCAAUCCUCACCAUUUCUUUUCUAAGAAUUCCUAUUAAAGUGUAAAAUGCAUAUACAUGUGUCUCAAAUCUUAAAAAAAAAGAAAAGAACAGAAAAAAGAAAAGAAAAUCCCAGUUUUUCUUCCCCCAGUAAAUCUCUUACUGCCAGUUGGUG